RNAcentral lists this ribosomal RNA (1264 nucleotides) under Papilio maackii. Its description in RNAcentral is "partial 16S ribosomal RNA". The stretch from base 1075 to 1232 matches the Rfam family "Archaeal large subunit ribosomal RNA", at positions 2544 to 2703 of the family's 2987-position model. The record is from RNAcentral. Lineage: Eukaryota; Metazoa; Arthropoda; Insecta; Lepidoptera; Papilionidae.
GGGGGAAAAAUUAAUAAUUAAUUAUAUUAAUAAAAAAAUUUUUAAAAUAUAUUUUAAUGGGGGUUAAAGUAUAUAUAUAGAAAAAAUUUUUAAAUUUAUAGUAAAAUAGUAUUGUAAAAGAAUUUUGAAAUAGGGAAAAUUAAUUUAAUAAAAAGUAAGUUUAAUUUAUUGUAUCUUGUGUAUCAGAGUUUAUUAAUAAUAUUUUUUAAGUAGAAAUUUCUCGAAUUUAAAAGAGUUAAUUAAUUAUAAAAGUUAAUGUAGUAUAAUUAUUUUUAAUAAUUAAUUGGAAAUGAAAUGUUAAUCGUUUUUAAAAGUAUCUAGUUUUUUUAGAAAAAAAUUUAAUUUUAAAUAUUAUAAUUUAAAAUUUUUAUUUAAUAAAAUUUUAAUAGUGUUAAUAUUAAAUAUUUUAAGGGAUAAGCUUUAAAAUAAAUUUUUAUAAUUAAUUUUAAAAUUAAUUAAAAUUUUAAAAUUUAAAUUGUUUAAUAAAUUAUAAUUUUUUAUAAAUAAUUUAAUUAUAAUUAAAAUUUAAUAAAAAAAUUUAAAUUUUUAUAAAAAAAUAUAUUUUAAUAAAAUAGAAUUAAAUAUAAUGAUAAAAUUAGUAUAUAAAUUUAAAUAAAUAAAUAAAUUUAAUUGAAGUUAAUUAAAGGAAUUCGGCAAAUUUUAUAUUCACUUGUUUAUCAAAAACAUGUCUUUUUGAAAAUAAUUUAAAGUCUAAUCUGCCCACUGAUAAAUUAUUAAAGGGCUGCAGUAUUUUGACUGUACAAAGGUAGCAUAAUCAUUAGUCUCUUAAUUGGUGACUUGUAUGAAAGAUUGGAUGAAAUAUAUACUGUCUCUAUUUAAUUUAUAAAAUUUAAUUUUUUAGUAAAAAAGCUAAAAUGAAUUUAAAAGACGAGAAGACCCUAUAGAGUUUAAUAAUUUAUUUAAUUAUUAUUAAUGUAUAAAUUUUAAAAUUAAAAUUGAAUAAAUUAUUUUGUUGGGGUGAUAGAAAAAUUAAAUUAACUUUUUUUUAUUUUAUACAUUAAUUUAUGAAUAAAUGAUCCAUUAAUAAUGAUUAAAAGAAAAAAUUACCUUAGGGAUAACAGCGUAAUUUUUUUUUUAGUUCAAAUAGGAAAAAAAGUUUGCGACCUCGAUGUUGGAUUAAGAUAAAAAUUAAAUGCAAAAGUUUAAAAUUUUGAUCUGUUCGAUCAUUAAAAUCUUACAUGAUCUGAGUUCAAACCGGUGUGAGCCAGGUUGGUUUCUAUCUUUAAAUAAUAAUGAUAUUUUA